CAUGCAAGUCGAACGGCAGCACGGGAGCAAUCCUGGUGGCGAGUGGCGAACGGGUGAGUAAUACAUCGGAACGUGCCCUGUCGUGGGGGAUAACUAGUCUAAAGAUUAGCUAAUACCGCAUACGACCUGAGGGUGAAAGCGGGGGACCGUAAGGCCUCGCGCGAUAGGAGCGGCCGAUGUNUGAUUAGCUAGUUGGUGGGGUAAAGGCCCACCAAGGCGACGAUCAGUAGCUGGUCUGAGAGGACGAUCAGCCACACUGGGACUGAGACACGGCCCANACUCCUACGGGAGGCAGCAGUGGGGAAUUUUGGACAAUGGGGGCAACCCUGAUCCAGCAAUGCCGCGUGUGUGAAGAAGGCCUUCUGGUUGUAAAGCACUUUUGUCCGGAAAGAAAUCCCUUGCCCUAAUACGGCGGGGGGAUGACGGUACCGGAAGAAUAAGCACCGGCUAACUACGUGCCAGCAGCC
This 467-nucleotide ribosomal RNA is filed under the name PAH-contaminated sludge bacterium PB-19. Its description in RNAcentral is "bacterial SSU rRNA". It matches the Rfam family "Bacterial small subunit ribosomal RNA", at positions 54 to 516 of the family's 1533-position model. Lineage: Bacteria; Pseudomonadati; Pseudomonadota; Betaproteobacteria; Burkholderiales; Burkholderiaceae. The record is from RNAcentral.